RNAcentral lists this unclassified non-coding RNA (268 nucleotides) under Coturnix japonica (Japanese quail). Its description in RNAcentral is "partial immature growth hormone secretagogue receptor 1a (GHS-R1tv-like)". The record is from RNAcentral. Lineage: Eukaryota; Metazoa; Chordata; Aves; Galliformes; Phasianidae.
GGUGUGGAUCUCCAGCAUCUUCUUUUUCUUGCCUGUCUUCUGCCUCACGGUGCUGUACAGCCUCAUCGGGAGGAAGCUCUGCAAACAUACCGGCUAUGCUCAAUAUUCUGUAUACAAUGACCACAUUGGUAGCAAUCAACACUUGGAUUAAACCUCAGAGCGUGGCUUGUGAGCCAUGGAAACUUCAGCUGAAAAGUUAACACACUUUCUUCUGCUGUUUUUUGUUUUAGUUGUGGUGGUAUUUGCUUUCAUACUCUGCUGGUUGCCU